GGAAUCUUCCGCAAUGGACGCAAGUCUGACGCAGCGACGCCGCGUGCGGGAGGACGCCUUUCGGGGUGUAAACCGCUGUCAGGGGGGACGAAGGCUUGGGGGAGGCAAUGCCCCUGAGAUUGACGGUACCCCCAGAGGAAGCACCGGCUAACUCCGUGCCAGCAGCCGCGGUAAUAUGGAGGGUGCAAGCGUUGUCCGGAAUUAUUGGGCGUAAAGCGCACGUAGGCGGUUCUUUAAGUCUCAUGGUGAAAGGCUGGGGCUCAACCCCAAGCAAGCCGGGGAUACUGGAGGACUGGAGACAGGCAGAGGCCAGCGGAAUUCCGGGUGUAGCGGUGGAAUGCGUAGAGAUCCGGAAGAACACCGGAGGCGAAGGCGGCUGGCUGGGCCUGAUCUGACGCUGAGGUGCGAAAGCGUGGGGAGCGAA
This 424-nucleotide ribosomal RNA is filed under the name uncultured bacterium. RNAcentral describes it as "bacterial SSU rRNA". It matches the Rfam family "Bacterial small subunit ribosomal RNA", at positions 358 to 772 of the family's 1533-position model. The record is from RNAcentral.